Homo sapiens (human) is the source of this 457-nucleotide long non-coding RNA. RefSeq lists it as uncharacterized. Lineage: Eukaryota; Metazoa; Chordata; Mammalia; Primates; Hominidae. The transcript has 3 exons. The record is from RefSeq and is a predicted model, not a curated record.
UGGUGCCAUAGAGCUCUCAAGAGAUUAUGACUUCGGCUGCCACAGCGCGUAGAGAAAGACCAUAGACUCUCCAGUGAGGAUGUGUGUUCAGAGGUAGCCUCUCCCGCCUCGCGCUUUGGGCACCCGCAGUUUUUCAGCUGCCUCCUGGAGUUUACAGCAGCAAGCUGCUUUUUUCAAAGGGUCUGUGAAUUCUUUUGGUUUUCAUGCUGGCAGAGUUAUACAAUCUGCUGAGCGUCAGGAACACAAGCUGCUGAGCAUCGGGGAUACAAGUGGCUGAGCGUCAAGCACAGAAGCAGCAACUGAACAUCAGAGACUAAGGAUAGACAUGGCUAACUUCAGAUGGUGUGGCUUCAGGGAAACAUCACCUUCUUCCUGCACUACCUCCUUUCCAAUUCCCCAUCCCACUGAGAGCCACGCUUAUUGCCCAAUAAAAUCCUCCGUGUAUACUACCCUUCAA